ACUCAGUGAAAUUGAACUCGCUGUGAAGAUGCAGUGUACCCGCGGCAAGACGGAAAGACCCCGUGAACCUUUACUAUAGCUUGACACUGAACAUUGAGCCUUGAUGUGUAGGAUAGGUGGGAGGCUUAGAAGUGUGGACGCCAGUCUGCAUGGAGCCGACCUUGAAAUACCACCCUUUAAUGUUUGAUGUUCUAACGUGGACCCGUGAUCCGGGUUGCGGACAGUGUCUGGUGGGUAGUUUGACUGGGGCGGUCUCCUCCUAAAGAGUAACGGAGGAGCACGAAGGUUGGCUAAUCCUGGUCGGACAUCAGGAGGUUAGUGCAAUGGCAUAAGCCAGCUUGACUGCGAGCGUGACGGCGCGAGCAGGUGCGAAAGCAGGUCAUAGUGAUCCGGUGGUUCUGAAUGGAAGGGCCAUCGCUCAACGGAUAAAAGGUACUCCGGGGAUAACAGGCUGAUACCGCCCAAGAGUUCAUAUCGACGGCGGUGUUUGGCACCUCGAUGUCGGCUCAUCACAUCCUGGGGCUGAAGUAGGUCCCAAGGGUAUGGCUGUUCGCCAUUUAAAGUGGUACGCGAGCUGGGUUUAGAACGUCGUGAGACAGUUCGGUCCCUAUCUGCCGUGGGCGCUGGAGAAUUGAGGGGGGCUGCUCCUAGUACGAGAGGACCGGAGUGGACGCAUCACUGGUGUUCGGGUUGUCAUGCCAAUGGCACUGCCCGGUAGCUAAAUGCGGAAGAGAUAAGUGCUGAAAGCAUCUAAGCACGAAACUUGCCCCGAGAUGAGUUCUCCCUGACCCUUUAAGGGUCCUGAAGGAACGUUGAAGACGACGACGUUGAUAGGCCGGGUGUGUAAGCGCAGCGAUGCGUUGAGCUAACCGGUACUAAUGAACCGUGAGGCUUAACCUUACAACGCCGAAGCUGUU
RNAcentral lists this ribosomal RNA (917 nucleotides) under Escherichia coli. Its description in RNAcentral is "partial 23S ribosomal RNA". It matches the Rfam family "Bacterial large subunit ribosomal RNA", at positions 2031 to 2925 of the family's 2925-position model. The record is from RNAcentral. Lineage: Bacteria; Pseudomonadati; Pseudomonadota; Gammaproteobacteria; Enterobacterales; Enterobacteriaceae.